UCCUUGUCUAGGAAAUUUGUUACAUUGUCUAGGCUGUUCAAUGUCUAAGCAUCUCUAAAUGUAGUGGCACAUACAUAGCAUACACAUCACAUAAGUGUUUCGUGGCAGGGAGGCCAUGUUGCAGGGUUGGUCAUGCCCCUCUGCUGCCCUUUGCCUGCCCCCAGCACCAUGUCCAUCAUCCUGGGCACCUGGAUGGAGCAGUCCUGGCAUGACUUCUGGGAACCUCCUGACUUUCCCAGCCUCCAGCUGGUGCUGGCUUAUGUGCAGCUGAGCAUGCCUGGCUCGGACCUGGAGCACCACGCCCACUUCCUCCUGGCCCAGCUGCAGGACAUGGAGCCCAACAAGGCUGAGCCUGAGGCUCUGUCACCACCUCCAGCACCAGGUGCCGCAGUGACUGCGGAGGAAGAGCCAGCUCCAGCAUCGGCCUGUGAGCAAGGGUCCCCUUC
This 446-nucleotide long non-coding RNA is filed under the name Chinchilla lanigera (long-tailed chinchilla). Its description in RNAcentral is "lncRNA (ENSCLAG00000025425.1)". The record is from RNAcentral. Lineage: Eukaryota; Metazoa; Chordata; Mammalia; Rodentia; Chinchillidae.